UCCGGUUUAACACCGGCGGUCCCAAUAGAGUUCCCGGCCGAACCGUUGGCAACUAUUGGCAAGGGUUGCGCUCGUUGCGGGACUUAACCCAACAUCUCACGACACGAGCUGACGACAGCCAUGCAGCACCUCCACAGCGGUUCCGAAGAAAAGGUACAUUUCUGUACCGGUCCACUGCAGUUCAAACCCAGGUAAGGUUCUUCGCGUUGCGUCGAAUUAAACCACAUGCUCCACCGCUUGUGCGGGCCCCCGUCAAUUCCGUUUGAGUUUUAAUCUUGCGACCGUACUCCUCAGGCGGAGUGCUUAACGCGUUAGCUUUGGCACUGCGGGGGUCAAUACCCACAACACCUAGCACUCAUCGUUUACAGCGUGGACUAC
RNAcentral lists this unclassified non-coding RNA (378 nucleotides) under uncultured Myxococcales bacterium. RNAcentral describes it as "contains 16S-23S intergenic spacer region". The record is from RNAcentral. Lineage: Bacteria; Pseudomonadati; Myxococcota; Myxococcia; Myxococcales.